This 583-nucleotide ribosomal RNA is filed under the name uncultured bacterium. RNAcentral describes it as "partial 16S ribosomal RNA". It matches the Rfam family "Bacterial small subunit ribosomal RNA", at positions 355 to 935 of the family's 1533-position model. The record is from RNAcentral.
UGGGGAAUUUUGGACAAUUGGGCGAAAGCCUGAUCCAGCAAUGCCGCGUGUGUGAAGAAGGCCUUCGGGUUGUAAAGCACUUUUGUCCGGAAAGAAAUCCUUGGCUCUAAUACAGUCGGGGGAUGACGGUACCGGAAGAAUAAGCACCGGCUAACUACGUGCCAGCAGCCGCGGUAAUACGUAGGGUGCAAGCGUUAAUCGGAAUUACUGGGCGUAAAGCGUGCGCAGGCGGUUUGCUAAGACCGAUGUGAAAUCCCCGGGCUCAACCUGGGAACUGCAUUGGUGACUGGCAGGCUAGAGUAUGGCAGAGGGGGGUAGAAUUCCACGUGUAGCAGUGAAAUGCGUAGAGAUGUGGAGGAAUACCGAUGGCGAAGGCAGCCCCCUGGGCCAAUACUGACGCUCAUGCACGAAAGCGUGGGGAGCAAACAGGAUUAGAUACCCUGGUAGCCCACGCCCUAAACGAUGUCAACUAGUUGUUGGGGAUUCAUUUCCUUAGUAACGUAGCUAACGCGUGAAGUUGACCGCCUGGGGAGUACGGUCGCAAGAUUAAAACUCAAAGGAAUUGACGGGGUCAUAGCUGUUU